This 253-nucleotide ribosomal RNA is filed under the name uncultured bacterium. RNAcentral describes it as "partial 16S ribosomal RNA". It matches the Rfam family "Bacterial small subunit ribosomal RNA", at positions 524 to 776 of the family's 1533-position model. The record is from RNAcentral.
UACGGAGGGAGCUAGCGUUGUUCGGAAUUACUGGGCGUAAAGCGCACGUAGGCGGCUUUGUAAGUUAGAGGUGAAAGCCCGGGGCUCAACUCCGGAACUGCCUUUAAGACUGCAUCGCUUGAAUCCAGGAGAGGUGAGUGGAAUUCCGAGUGUAGAGGUGAAAUUCGUAGAUAUUCGGAAGAACACCAGUGGCGAAGGCGACUGACUGGACAUGUAUUGACGCUGAGGUGCGAAAGCGUGGGGAGCAAACAGG